AACGCUGGCGGCGUGCUUAACACAUGCAAGUCGAACGGUGAAGGGACUGGUUUUGCUGGUCCUGGAUGAGUGGCGAACGGGUGAGUAACACGUGAGUAACCUGCCCCCUUCUUCUGGAUAACCGCAUGAAAGUGUGGCUAAUACGGGAUAUUCUGGGUCUGUCGCAUGGUGGGCCUGGGAAAGAUUGCGCCUUUUUUGGUGUUUUUGGUGGGGGAUGGGCUCGCGGCCUAUCAGCUUGUUGGUGGGGUGAUGGCCUACCAAGGCGGUGACGGGUAGCCGGCCUGAGAGGGUGGACGGUCACACUGGGACUGAGACACGGCCCAGACUCCUACGGGAGGCAGCAGUGGGGAAUAUUGCACAAUGGGCGCAAGCCUGAUGCAGCGACGCCGCGUGAGGGAUGGAGGCCUUCGGGUUGUGAACCUCUUUCGCCAGUGAAGCAGGCCUGCCUCGUUUCUGGGUGGG
This 462-nucleotide ribosomal RNA is filed under the name Actinomyces naeslundii. RNAcentral's name for it is "bacterial SSU rRNA". It matches the Rfam family "Bacterial small subunit ribosomal RNA", at positions 32 to 472 of the family's 1533-position model. The record is from RNAcentral. Lineage: Bacteria; Bacillati; Actinomycetota; Actinomycetes; Actinomycetales; Actinomycetaceae.